CUAUAUGCAAAUUUCCUGUAAUCUUAUUUGCAGUCUCAGUCCUAUUCUGUUUCGUUUCCUUUGUAUUAUGUAUUGUGGCUGAGAUCCUCAGGAAUAAGGAAGAUGAGAUCAGAUGGAACGGAAGGCUGUGUCAUGCACCAGUAAGUCCUUCAUAUUGGUUGGGAAUUGCAGCUUUGGGUUGCUUGGCUGCAUCUCAGCUUCUGGCAAAUUUCAUAUUCUUCAAUCAUUCUUCAAAAUUAGGCAGAGCUGAGAAUCCUGAGUUUAACGUACCUCUUGUUGCCAAGCUUCUGGUUUUGAUCUCCUGGGUGGGCUGUUUGGUUGCAAUAAUAAUAUUAACAGUGGCGAUAAGCAUGAGUGGGGAGCAGAAUUACGGAGAAGGAUGGUUGGAAGGGGACUGUUACGUCGUCAAACCUGGCUGUUUUGCUGGCUCUUCCAU
Neltuma alba is the source of this 436-nucleotide long non-coding RNA. RefSeq lists it as uncharacterized. The transcript is spliced from 3 exons. NCBI's taxonomy places the organism in Eukaryota, Viridiplantae, Streptophyta, Magnoliopsida, Fabales, Fabaceae. The record is from RefSeq and is a predicted model, not a curated record.